Molecule: ribosomal RNA, 364 nt
Filed under: Oithona decipiens
Lineage: Eukaryota; Metazoa; Arthropoda; Copepoda; Cyclopoida; Oithonidae
Description: partial 28S ribosomal RNA
Source: RNAcentral
AUGAGAGUUCAAGAGUACGUGAAACCGCUUAGUAGUAAACGGAGGGGUUCUCGAAGUCGGCGGUGACGGUUCAGGGUGACGGCAGGGCGGCUUGGAGGCGUGGGAUCCGCAAGGACCCUGUCUUCUUGUUGGCUCGGUCGGCGCCUGCACUUCGUUGCCGCCAUACGCGACGAACCGUUUCCGACGGACCGAGGGCGUGGGUGAAGUUUGCGGGCCUCGGCCUUCAAGCCCCGCGUUUCUGGCUCUGUCGGGGACGGGUAAUGGAGCGAUCUCUUAUAGAGAGGGCCUUUACUGGCUCGGUUCGCAUCUCUGUCGCGAGUAGGUCGGCGACCCCUCCGACCCGUCUUGAAACACGGACAUCACU